RNAcentral lists this transfer RNA (71 nucleotides) under Loxodonta africana (African savanna elephant). It matches the Rfam family "tRNA". Rfam says of the family: Transfer RNA (tRNA) molecules are approximately 80 nucleotides in length. Their secondary structure includes four short double-helical elements and three loops (D, anti-codon, and T loops). Lineage: Eukaryota; Metazoa; Chordata; Mammalia; Proboscidea; Elephantidae. The record is from Rfam by way of RNAcentral.
GCAUUGGUAGUUCAAUGGUAGAAUUCUUACCUCGCAUGUGAGAGACCGAGGUUUGACUCAUGGCCAGUGCA